Molecule: long non-coding RNA, 4381 nt
Filed under: Lathyrus oleraceus (garden pea)
Lineage: Eukaryota; Viridiplantae; Streptophyta; Magnoliopsida; Fabales; Fabaceae
Description: Pisum sativum (pea) long non-coding RNA (PSAT_LNC035747)
Source: RNAcentral
AUCCUUCUACUUUAACAACCCAAAUUACCAAGGUAUAUUCUUCCUUAGAGGCAGAGAAAAAGUAUUGCCAACAAAAAUUUGCUUCCGUUGAAGAGGCAAAUCGUCGUGCUAAUGAGGUUGGAAAAUCCCUUUAAUAGGAGAAAAAUCAUUGUGUUGAAGAUUAAAGGCCUCAUGAUGGCCAGGUGGCUGAGCUAAAUGAGAGGGUUUGGGAGUCUCUUUAUGAAUAAGUAAAAGUAUAAAUCAUAAUGAAAUGGACUAAAAAUAGUUAUGUAAUUUCAACGAUGUUACAAUGUUGAAUGGUGAAAUUGGGUUUUUUCCCUCAACCAUAAAGGCCCAAUAUCAACUCCUAUUUAAAGAGAAGUAAGAGAAGGGAAGGGUGGACAAUCUUGUGACUUAAAUUUCACGGUGAAGCGAUUUCUAAAUUUAUGGAGCAAAGGUUUUCAUCACCGAAAGUCAAACUUAAAUCAAAAGUUCGUGUAUUGUUUCUUCAUUACUUCAGUCAUGUUUACUAUGAGUAUGAAUAGUUAAGUUUUAUUGAUCAGGUCUUGUUAGACGAGCAUGUUGGGAUAAGUAUGAAUAGCUAAGAUUCAUAUGGCAUAUGUUUUAGAAUUGCAUAUGGCUAGGUUUUAUAUGCUUAUAAUAAUUUAUGUGUAAGUGUAGAUAUGUGAUAGAUUCAGUCAUUCAAGUCUCUUGUCUGGUGAUUGUAUAUGUAUAGACUUUUAAUUUAAUAUUGACUUUUUUAUUAAUAAGAUUCAAUUUAGACACCCCGGGAUAAAUUGAAUUCAGAAAAAUGAUGCAUUGAUCAUUUUGCGCCCUCAACUUCCAUCUUCUUUGUAUUUUAUGAUAUUAUGAGUAAACCAUGAAAUCAAUCUGAUUGCAUAUUUUAUAAAAUUCCACUUGUAAGCUUUUUGAACUCUAAUUUUGAAGAAAACGGUUUGAAAUAGGUUUUAAGGGAAAUGUCUAUUCAAAUCCACAUCCCUUUCUUGACCAUUCUUCACCCAUAUUCUUCCAAAUAGUUCUUUCUCCGUUGUGGUGACCUCCAUAAGAUGAGAUAUGACAAUACCAUAUGAUACUUAUUACUUUGUCCCAUCUACACAUCCGAUUUUAAAGUUGAUCAUAUCAGCAAACCAUGGUCUUUUCAAUAACCACAAAUGUUUUCUCAUCUCGAAACUCCUCUAAUAUUAUACUCUUCUCCUUAUUUGUAACAUCAUAAAUCUCUAGUCUUGAUAAGUGAUCAAAUACCACAUUCUCGACUCCCUUCUUAUCUUUGAUCUCCAGGUCAAAGUUUUAAAGAAAAAUAACUCAUAUUAACAAAUAGGUUUUGACUCUCCUUAAUUCAACUAAGUGUCUGAGCGUUGUACGAUGAUAUGUAAACACAAUAACUUUGGAACUAGUUAGAUAAGAGUAAAAAUGUCCCAAUACAAAUAUUAUGACGAGUAAUUCCUUCUUAAUGGUAGUCUAGUUUACUUUUCAUUCAAGAUUUGUUCACAUAAUAUAUAGUAUGGAUUUUAUUUUAUUUUAUUGACUUCAAGUUCGUAAUCACUAGCAUUGCAAAUCAGUUUAAAAAGUAAUGAUCAAUUAAGGAUUAUGAUUACGGAAGCGGUCCCAAAUCAAUUUAAAAAGAAAAUAGUCAAGUGAGGGUUAUGAUUACGAAUGUGAUGGCUAACUUUUCUUAAAUAAGUAUUAAAGAACUUAAACAAUCAUCAUCAAAUUUAAAGCAAAUCAAUUGUUAUUGAUCCAAAUAAUUUGUGUGAUUUUAUAUAACAUAUAUGACUAUAUUGUAAAUUGUAAUUCAAGCACUUUAAUUUGAAGUUGUUAUCGUCCACCUAUAUUCAACUACACAAAAUUGUGCUUUACCAUUAAACUUUAAAAAUUUGUACAGACCAUGAACUAAAUCCUAUCCAACAUACAAUAUACAGACAUUAACUAGCUUGAAAGUGAAUCAGGUUCAUAUAUCUAGAUAUUACAAGACAGUAAUGAUCAAACUCACGUACAUAUGUAAAAAGAGAAAUCAAUUAUAUACUAUACAUGGUCCCCAACACCACCGAUUUCAGCUAGCUAUCUAAUUACUCAACUCUCACUUGAAGCCACCUCUGCUGUAAUGAGACAUUUUGAUUUUAUGAGGUGUAACACACAAGGCUUCCAUAACCAUGCAAGAUGAAGAAUGUCGAAUGGUCAGCAACUCAUGUAUCUUCUUGGAGCCGAUGUGUCCCUCCUAUACUUUCCUAUGUUUCACUAUAAAUCCCUAUGCCAGAUUAAGGUUCUUCGCGUCACAAACAUAUAUUCUAUCCAACUAUGGCUACUAAGCUUCUUGCACUUUCUCUUUCAUUCUGUUUUCUACUUUUGGGGGGCUGUUUUGCUUUGAGAGAACAGCCAGAGCAAAAUGAGUGCCAGCUAGAACGCCUCAAUGCCCUCGAGCCUGAUAACCGUAUAGAAUCGGAAGGUGGGCUCAUUGAGACUUGGAAUCCCAACAACAAGCAAUUCCGAUGUGCUGGUGUGGCCCUCUCUCGUGCUACCCUUCAACGUAACGCCCUUCGCAGACCUUACUACUCCAAUGCUCCCCAAGAAAUUUUCAUCCAACAAGGUUACUUAUUUUAAUCUUAUACCAACUUCUUUACGUACAUUACAUGCAUAUUAGCAUACUAAUUAGUGUUCUACUAUACCAAUUACAGGUAAUGGAUAUUUUGGGAUGGUAUUCCCCGGUUGUCCUGAGACCUUUGAAGAGCCACAAGAAUCUGAACAAGGAGAGGGACGCAGGUACAGAGACAGACAUCAAAAGGUUAACCGAUUCAGAGAGGGUGAUAUCAUUGCAGUUCUGCCAGGUUCCUACUGGUAUUGUAUUUUGGAUGUACAACGACCAAGACACCCAGUUAUUGCCGUCUCUCUUACUGACAUUAGAAGCUCCAUAACCAGCUUGAUCAGAUGCCUAGGGUGAGCACUGAGCAUAAUUAAACUUCCCAUAUAAGAAUAUGUUGUCCAAAACAGUAACAUAGAUUCUAUCUAUCUAGUUUGACAGAGAUUCUAUCUUGCUGGGAACCACGAGCAAGAGUUUCUACGAUACCAGCAUCAACAAGGAGGAAAGCAAGAACAAGAAAAUGAAGGCAACAACAUUUUCAGUGGCUUCAAGAGGAUUUCUUGGAAGAUGCUUUCAACGUGAACAGGCAUAUAGUAGACAGACUUCAAGGCAGGAAUGAAGACGAAGAGAAGGGAGCAUUGUCAAAGUGAAAGGUGGACUCAGCAUCAUAAGCCCACCCGAGAAGCAAGCGCGCCACCAGAGAGGCAGCAGACAAGAGGAAGAUGAAGUGAAGAUGAAGAGAGGCAGCCGCGCCACCAGAGAGGCAGCAGACAAGAGGAAGAGGAAGAUGAAGAUGAAGAGAGGCAGCCGCGUCAUCAAAGGAGAAGAGGAGAGGAGGAAGAAGAAGACAAGAAAGAGCGCCGCGGCAGCCAAAAAGGCAAAAGCAGAAGGCAAGGAGACAAUGGGCUUGAGGAAACAGUUUGCACUGCUAAACUUCGAUUGAACAUUGGCCCGUCUUCAUCACCAGACAUCUACAACCCUGAAGCUGGUAGAAUCAAAACUGUUACCAGCCUGGACCUCCAGUUCUCAGGUGGCUCAAACUAAGUGCUGAGCAUGGAUCUCUCCACAAAGUAUGUUUUUUUCAUAUUUUAAUUUGUUUUUCCAUGAAUCAAUUUCAUGUCGAACUAUGUGCUAACUCAUUACAAUCUUCAUACAGAAUGCUAUGUUUUGUGCCUCACUACAACCUGAAUGCAAACAGUAUAAUAUACGCAUUGAAGGGACGUGCAAGGCUACAAGUAGUGAACUGCAAUGGCAACACACCCGGUUUUGAUGGAGAGCUAGAAGCCGGACGUGCAUUGACAGUGCCACAAAACUGGCUGCAAAGUCACUAAGCGACAGGUUCUCAUAUGUAGCAUUCAAGACCAAUGAUAGAGCUGGUAUUGCAAGACUUGCAGGGACAUCAUCAGUUAUAAAUAAUCUGCCGUUGGAUGUUGUGGCAGCUACAUUCAACCUGCAGAGGAAUGAGGCAAGGCAGCUCAAGUCCAACAAUCCCUUCAAAUUUCUAGUUCCAGCUCGUCAGUCUGAGAACAGAGCUUCGGCUUAGAUUUCGCACCAAAUCAAUGAAAGUAAUAAUGAAAAGUCUGAAUAAGAAUACUUAGGCUUAGAUGCCUUUGUUACUUGUGUAAAAUAACUUGAGUCAUGUACCUUUGGCGGAAACAGAAUAAAUAAAAGGUGAAAUUCCAAUGCUCUAUGUAUAAGUUAGUAAUACUUAAUGUGUUCUACGGUUGUUUCAAUAUCAUCAAACUCUAAUUGAAACUUUAGAACCACAAAUCUCAAUCUUUUCUUAAUGAAAUGAAAAAUCUUAAU